RNAcentral lists this non-coding RNA (238 nucleotides) under Domibacillus antri. RNAcentral's name for it is "T-box sequence". It matches the Rfam family "T-box leader". From Rfam's summary of the family: Uncharged tRNA acts as the effector for transcription antitermination of genes in the T-box leader family. T-boxes are found upstream of many aminoacyl-tRNA synthetase genes and some amino acid biosynthetic genes usually in Gram-positive bacteria. The record is from RNAcentral. Lineage: Bacteria; Bacillati; Bacillota; Bacilli; Caryophanales; Bacillaceae.
ACAUGAGCAAUGAAGAAGAAGAGUAGCAAAGUGGAAUGCUUUAGAGAGCCGGCGGGUGGUGCAAGCCGGUGCAGGAAACAUUGUGAAUGGGCUUCCGAGCUUCCGGACCGAACCAACUAGCAGUAGGCUCCGGCGAAUGUCUUAUCGUUACAUGGGACAGGCAGAUUUUCUGCUGUUAAAGUGGAUCGCAGCAUGUGUGCGGUCAAUAAAGGUGGUACCACGGCUCCCCGUCCUUUUG